Molecule: long non-coding RNA, 475 nt
Organism: Salvia splendens (bonfire salvia)
Lineage: Eukaryota; Viridiplantae; Streptophyta; Magnoliopsida; Lamiales; Lamiaceae
Exons: 2
Source: RefSeq, a predicted model, not a curated record
AAAAACAACUAAUUUCAGGCUUGAGAUUAAGCUUUCUAAAUGUGUUUGUUGAAGUGUGGCGUAGAUGAGGUCGAUGCAGGGGAUGAAAGAGGUCGCCUUUUCCACCGUCAAAUCACUCAAGGAUUCUGCUUCGCCUUUGCAUGAUUCCGGCAAGUUUUCCGGCGGCAUCGACUCCACGGAUUCGACGGCCGUUGUCGUGAAAUCUGAUAAAUUCAAACAGGCUGAAGACUCUCUGCGCAUUGUCAUGUACUUGAGCUGCUGGGGUCCCAAUUGACAUCUCUCUCUCUCUCUCUACAUAAAAAUAACAAGAGUCGGCGUCUAUGUAUAUACACAAUUACUAGGAAAUCGAAACAUACAUUUUAUAUUAGUUAGUUGUUUGUAUAGUCUCAUUUUUUUCCGUUUAUUUAAUUUGCAUUUGAGGUAAUGGUAAUAUCGUAUACUACAUGAUUUUGUUCCACAGUUUGUUGUUUGAACA